GGACCCGACCGCUAUCGGGGUAGGGCUAAGCCAUGGGAGUCGAACGCCCCGCCGCUGCGGGGCGUGGCGGACGGCUGAGUAACACGUGGCUAACCUACCCUCGGGACGGGGAUAACCCCGGGAAACUGGGGCUAAUCCCCGAUAGGCGGGGAGGCCUGGAAGGGUUCCCCGCCGAAAGGCGCCGUCGGGGGUUAUCGCCGGCGGUGCGCCCGAGGAUGGGGCUGCGCCCCAUCACGGUAGUUGGCGGGGUAAUGGCCCGCCAAGCCUACGACGGGUAGGGGCCGUGAGAGCGGGAGCCCCCAGAUGGGCACUGAGACAAGGGCCCAGGCCCUACGGGGCGCACCAGGCGCGAAAACUCCGCAAUGCGGGCAACCGUGACGGGGCUACCCCGAGUGCCCCCCUCGAGGGGGCUUUUCCCCGCUGUAAGUAGGCGGGGGAAUAAGCGGGGGGCAAGACUGGUGUCAGCCGCCGCGGUAAUACCAGCCCCGCGAGUGGUCGGGGUGCUUACUGGGCCUAAAGCGCCCGUAGCCGGCUCGACAAGUCCCCUCCUAAAGCCCCGGGCUCAACCCGGGGAGUGGAGGGGAUACUGUCGGGCUAGGGGGCGGGAAGGCCGAGGGUACUCCCGGGGUAGGGGCGAAAUCCACUAAUCCCGGGAGGACCACCAGUGGCGAAGGCGCUCGGCUGGAACGCGCCCGACGGUGAGGGGCGAAAGCCGGGGGAGCGAACCGGAUUAGAUACCCGGGUAGUCCCGGCUGUAAACGAUGCGGGCUAGUGUUGGGCGGGCGAGAGAGCCCGCCCAGUGCCGCAGGGAAGCCGUUAAGCCCGCGCCUGGGGAGUACGGCGCAAGGCUGAAACUUAAAGGAAUUGGCGGGGAGCACCACAAGGGGUGGAGCCUGCGGCUUAAUUGGAGUCAACGCCGGGAACCUCUACCGGGGGCGACAGCAGAUAUGGCCAGGCUGAAGGCCUUGCCUGACGCGCUGAGGGGAGGUGCAUGGCCGUCGCCAGCUCGUGCCGUGAGGUGU
This 1022-nucleotide ribosomal RNA is filed under the name uncultured archaeon. Its description in RNAcentral is "bacterial SSU rRNA". It matches the Rfam family "Archaeal small subunit ribosomal RNA", at positions 19 to 1024 of the family's 1478-position model. The record is from RNAcentral.